RNAcentral lists this unclassified non-coding RNA (902 nucleotides) under Hevea brasiliensis (rubber tree). Lineage: Eukaryota; Viridiplantae; Streptophyta; Magnoliopsida; Malpighiales; Euphorbiaceae. The record is from RNAcentral.
GGCAUUCAAAGAUCAGUUUCCUCGAUCGUGGGUAGAAGAAUAACCACAAACCUUUUCACAAAUGAACAGUACAAAUGAUUUUGUAUCAAAUAAAACCAGCACCAUCAACUUUAAACACAUUCAAUGAACCUAAUUUCCUUCCUUACGUUUUGUGCAUUUUUACAAUACUAAAUCAUUGCUACUAUCUUAAUUACAAAACAAAUCAUCAUCAGACUGUUGAAACCAAAAAAAAAAAAAAGGUUUUAAUUUUCAUCGAUUUCGGAACAAGCUGAAAUCCCAACGGCGCAUCAAACCAUCCAUAAUGUGGCUUGCUGGGUUCCGUUCUACUGUCAAUGUGGCUUUCGUGUUACUUGACAUGUCAGUAUCUGUUGGGUUCUGGACACUCCCUGAAGUAUCACUACGAGUAGAGGUGCCUGUGCUACCAGAUUCUGUCAUGGAUGGUGGGGUGUCAAAUGCUGGUCCGCUGGAUGACACACUAGGAUCAGGUGAUGGGUGUUCUGUUGCUGAAUUUUCAACACUGGUUGCUGGAGAGGAAGCAGGCUCUAUCUUUGAAGGUUCAUGUUGCUCUACUGUCUUCAAGGAACGUUCUGCAAUGGAAGAUGCAUCUACAUAAUGUUUUUGUGAAGAUUCCAUGGAAGUGGGGUUGACACUAGCCUGUUCUUGUUCAGCAUUAGGAUAUCUCAUCUCCAAGUCCUUUAGUGAUGCAAUCACUGCUUCCAUAAACAUCCUUUCUUCCUCCUCUACAUUGCAUGGAAAACCAGCCAAGUCAUCCAGUUGAUACUCCACAUAUUGAUCAUCAUCCAUCAUUGUUGGAACAUGUGGACCAUAGGGAUGACCAUUGGAUAAUUCAAAGCUUAUCAUUUUGGAUGAUGAUGGCAAAUGAUCGUCAUCAAUUUCUCCAC